GCUCAGUUGGUAAAGUACAAGGCUCUUAACCUUGUGGUCGUGGGCUCGAGCCCCAC
RNAcentral lists this transfer RNA (56 nucleotides) under Triticum aestivum (bread wheat). It matches the Rfam family "tRNA", at positions 10 to 63 of the family's 71-position model. From Rfam's summary of the family: Transfer RNA (tRNA) molecules are approximately 80 nucleotides in length. Their secondary structure includes four short double-helical elements and three loops (D, anti-codon, and T loops). Lineage: Eukaryota; Viridiplantae; Streptophyta; Magnoliopsida; Poales; Poaceae. The record is from Rfam by way of RNAcentral. RNAcentral also lists the same sequence under 1 other name.